RNAcentral lists this ribosomal RNA (109 nucleotides) under Xylanibacter ruminicola. RNAcentral describes it as "Prevotella ruminicola partial 16S rRNA. Bacterial SSU". It matches the Rfam family "Bacterial small subunit ribosomal RNA", at positions 1 to 105 of the family's 1533-position model. Lineage: Bacteria; Pseudomonadati; Bacteroidota; Bacteroidia; Bacteroidales; Prevotellaceae. The record is from RNAcentral.
AUACAAUGAAGAGUUUGAUCCUGGCUCAGGAUGAACGCUAGCUACAGGCUUAACACAUGCAAGUCGAGGGGCAGCAUAACGAAAGCUUGCUUUUGUUGAUGGCGACCGG